CCUACGGGAGGCAGCAGUAGGGAAUCUUCCGCAAUGGACGAAAGUCUGACGGAGCAACGCCGCGUGAACGAUGAAGGCCUUCGGGUCGUAAAGUUCUGUUGUUAGGGAAGAACAAGUGCUAGUUAAAUAAGCUGGCACCUUGACGGUACCUAACCAGAAAGCCACGGCUAACUACGUGCCAGCAGCCGCGGUAAUACGUAGGUGGCAAGCGUUGUCCGGAAUUAUUGGGCGUAAAGCGCGCGCAGGCGGUUUCUUAAGUCUGAUGUGAAAGCCCCCGGCUCAACCGGGGAGGGUCAUUGGAAACUGGGAAACUUGAGUGCAGAAGAGGAAAGUGGAAUUCCAAGUGUAGCGGUGAAGUGCGUAGAGAUUUGGAGGAACACCAGUGGCGAAGGCGACUUUCUGGUCUGUAACUGACGCUGAGGCGCGAAAGCGUGGGGAGCAAACAGGAUUAGAUACCCUGGUAGUCCACGCUGUAAACGAUGAGUGCUAAGUGUUAGAGGGUUUCCGCCUUUAGUGCUGAAGUUAACGCAUUAAGCNCNCNCGNGGNGNGNGNGAGANGAUAANAANAGAUUGUGNGNGNGNGNGCGAGNGACAGAGGAG
This 600-nucleotide ribosomal RNA is filed under the name uncultured bacterium. RNAcentral's name for it is "partial 16S ribosomal RNA". It matches the Rfam family "Bacterial small subunit ribosomal RNA", at positions 338 to 873 of the family's 1533-position model. The record is from RNAcentral.